Molecule: ribosomal RNA, 2443 nt
Filed under: Escherichia coli
Lineage: Bacteria; Pseudomonadati; Pseudomonadota; Gammaproteobacteria; Enterobacterales; Enterobacteriaceae
Description: bacterial LSU rRNA
Rfam family: Bacterial large subunit ribosomal RNA
Source: RNAcentral
UGUGAGCUCGAUGAGUAGGGCGGGACACGUGGUAUCCUGUCUGAAUAUGGGGGGACCAUCCUCCAAGGCUAAAUACUCCUGACUGACCGAUAGUGAACCAGUACCGUGAGGGAAAGGCGAAAAGAACCCCGGCGAGGGGAGUGAAAAAGAACCUGAAACCGUGUACGUACAAGCAGUGGGAGCACGCUUAGGCGUGUGACUGCGUACCUUUUGUAUAAUGGGUCAGCGACUUAUAUUCUGUAGCAAGGUUAACCGAAUAGGGGAGCCGAAGGGAAACCGAGUCUUAACUGGGCGUUAAGUUGCAGGGUAUAGACCCGAAACCCGGUGAUCUAGCCAUGGGCAGGUUGAAGGUUGGGUAACACUAACUGGAGGACCGAACCGACUAAUGUUGAAAAAUUAGCGGAUGACUUGUGGCUGGGGGUGAAAGGCCAAUCAAACCGGGAGAUAGCUGGUUCUCCCCGAAAGCUAUUUAGGUAGCGCCUCGUGAAUUCAUCUCCGGGGGUAGAGCACUGUUUCGGCAAGGGGGUCAUCCCGACUUACCAACCCGAUGCAAACUGCGAAUACCGGAGAAUGUUAUCACGGGAGACACACGGCGGGUGCUAACGUCCGUCGUGAAGAGGGAAACAACCCAGACCGCCAGCUAAGGUCCCAAAGUCAUGGUUAAGUGGGAAACGAUGUGGGAAGGCCCAGACAGCCAGGAUGUUGGCUUAGAAGCAGCCAUCAUUUAAAGAAAGCGUAAUAGCUCACUGGUCGAGUCGGCCUGCGCGGAAGAUGUAACGGGGCUAAACCAUGCACCGAAGCUGCGGCAGCGACGCUUAUGCGUUGUUGGGUAGGGGAGCGUUCUGUAAGCCUGCGAAGGUGUGCUGUGAGGCAUGCUGGAGGUAUCAGAAGUGCGAAUGCUGACAUAAGUAACGAUAAAGCGGGUGAAAAGCCCGCUCGCCGGAAGACCAAGGGUUCCUGUCCAACGUUAAUCGGGGCAGGGUGAGUCGACCCCUAAGGCGAGGCCGAAAGGCGUAGUCGAUGGGAAACAGGUUAAUAUUCCUGUACUUGGUGUUACUGCGAAGGGGGGACGGAGAAGGCUAUGUUGGCCGGGCGACGGUUGUCCCGGUUUAAGCGUGUAGGCUGGUUUUCCAGGCAAAUCCGGAAAAUCAAGGCUGAGGCGUGAUGACGAGGCACUACGGUGCUGAAGCAACAAAUGCCCUGCUUCCAGGAAAAGCCUCUAAGCAUCAGGUAACAUCAAAUCGUACCCCAAACCGACACAGGUGGUCAGGUAGAGAAUACCAAGGCGCUUGAGAGAACUCGGGUGAAGGAACUAGGCAAAAUGGUGCCGUAACUUCGGGAGAAGGCACGCUGAUAUGUAGGUGAAGUCCCUCGCGGAUGGAGCUGAAAUCAGUCGAAGAUACCAGCUGGCUGCAACUGUUUAUUAAAAACACAGCACUGUGCAAACACGAAAGUGGACGUAUACGGUGUGACGCCUGCCCGGUGCCGGAAGGUUAAUUGAUGGGGUCAGCGCAAGCGAAGCUCUUGAUCGAAGCCCCGGUAAACGGCGGCCGUAACUAUAACGGUCCUAAGGUAGCGAAAUUCCUUGUCGGGUAAGUUCCGACCUGCACGAAUGGCGUAAUGAUGGCCAGGCUGUCUCCACCCGAGACUCAGUGAAAUUGAACUCGCUGUGAAGAUGCAGUGUACCCGCGGCAAGACGGAAAGACCCCGUGAACCUUUACUAUAGCUUGACACUGAACAUUGAGCCUUGAUGUGUAGGAUAGGUGGGAGGCUUUGAAGUGUGGACGCCAGUCUGCAUGGAGCCGACCUUGAAAUACCACCCUUUAAUGUUUGAUGUUCUAACGUGGACCCGUAAUCCGGGUUGCGGACAGUGUCUGGUGGGUAGUUUGACUGGGGCGGUCUCCUCCUAAAGAGUAACGGAGGAGCACGAAGGUUGGCUAAUCCUGGUCGGACAUCAGGAGGUUAGUGCAAUGGCAUAAGCCAGCUUGACUGCGAGCGUGACGGCGCGAGCAGGUGCGAAAGCAGGUCAUAGUGAUCCGGUGGUUCUGAAUGGAAGGGCCAUCGCUCAACGGAUAAAAGGUACUCCGGGGAUAACAGGCUGAUACCGCCCAAGAGUUCAUAUCGACGGCGGUGUUUGGCACCUCGAUGUCGGCUCAUCACAUCCUGGGGCUGAAGUAGGUCCCAAGGGUAUGGCUGUUCGCCAUUUAAAGUGGUACGCGAGCUGGGUUUAGAACGUCGUGAGACAGUUCGGUCCCUAUCUGCCGUGGGCGCUGGAGAAUUGAGGGGGGCUGCUCCUAGUACGAGAGGACCGGAGUGGACGCAUCACUGGUGUUCGGGUUGUCAUGCCAAUGGCACUGCCCGGUAGCUAAAUGCGGAAGAGAUAAGUGCUGAAAGCAUCUAAGCACGAAACUUGCCCCGAGAUGAGUUCUCCCUGACUCCUUGA